Odocoileus virginianus texanus is the source of this 953-nucleotide non-coding RNA. Lineage: Eukaryota; Metazoa; Chordata; Mammalia; Artiodactyla; Cervidae. The record is from RefSeq and is a predicted model, not a curated record.
UGCUCAGGGAAGAAGGGUCUGGCCCCUGGAGGAGCCGGCCGCUCACCCGGUCUGGAAAGUGUGAUCCGCUGUGAUGCUCAUAUGGGAUCAGCCGGCCUGCAGGCAUAUUGCACUCCUGCCCCCGAGGGUCCCUCUCCACGUUCAGCUGUCUUGAACAGAAAUCACACCAGGGAUCACCUCAAGAAGGAAGCUUUAAGGCAGAAGGCCUUCCACAUGGGGGCUGUCUGGCCUCUGCUUCUGAUCCAGACGGGGUGCCCUCGUCCUGAGAGUCCAGCCAGACCCUGCGUGGUCCGCACACUGCCGGCAGGGCGUCCGAGCCACCGCGCCCCCUCUCCAGGCACAUGCGGAGUGGAAGUAGCAGACAACCACGCCCCCGACAUAACCACCCUCUGACCUGGGUGUCAGGGAGCGCCAGGUCUCCCCCUAGGCCUUGAUGUCCCGUGUCAGCCCCUGCACCCCUGGGAAAGCUAUCCCCGCUCCGCAGAGAAGGGCCCCACGUGAAGCGGGGAGACCGAGGGCCAGAGGGACCGAAGGGACUGACUGCCUUGAUGGGUGAAAUCACAGCCAAGCACGUCUCAUCUCCCACAGCCUUGGCACCGUGCUCUGGUGACAAUGAGACUCGCAUUCCUGGGCCCGUCUCUAUUGUAAACACAACAAUGAACUAUGAGCUCUUUCUCAAUCUUGUUACCACCAGCGUAAAUUCACAUGUCAGCACGUGACUGUUGCCAGGAGACUGCAUGAGUGCCAGUACAUGAUGGAGGCUCCAGGUUUCAUUCUGGUGCAAAGGAGAGGAAACAGCUUUGGUCGGUAGAUAAUGUGCAAUGUUGCCGGGGGUUUCAAUACUGACAGUAAGCACAGUCUUAGAGUUCUGCAGAAACUAUGCUUGCCUUUCAUUUCUUUGUACUGGACUUGAUCUAUCUUAAGUGUCUGUAAGGUUGCUGCCCGGGGACAAA